This 333-nucleotide long non-coding RNA is filed under the name Gallus gallus (chicken). RNAcentral's name for it is "lncRNA (ENSGALG00010003741.1)". Lineage: Eukaryota; Metazoa; Chordata; Aves; Galliformes; Phasianidae. The record is from RNAcentral.
GUUGGAUAAGUGUGUUUGGUUAGAUAUCUUGCAGAGAGGACAUGCUUAGGAGUACUUUGGACCAAUCUCUUGCCUGGCUUCAAAACUUGUUUUCAAAAUUAUCAAGCCAUGGAAUUUGAGCUCAGCUGUGCAGUUUUCCUCGCUGCAGCAAUCAUCAGAGCACAAGCACGGCGCUGAACACUCCUGCAAACUAUGGGGACAAGUUUCCAGUGAGCUUUGCAUCGUGGGGAGAGCAAACCCCAAUCUCCUGCAAUAUAAGGUAACAUCCCUGCGAUACGUACAUCCUGCUGUGCAGCACAGCUGCAGGGCAGAGCCCGUUUCACUUCUUUCCUU